UGCCGCUGCAUGAUUCAGUGCUGUCGAGAGGAAUGAGUAAACGGGGCGAUAGACUGACACAACAGUUGAAGAAAUACUAAGGACGUUUUCAUCCUCUUGGAUACCGGAUUUUUCGUUAAGUUCAUCUGUACUUAAACGCGAGGAUAUCACAAAACACGUCUCAGAGAAGAAGUGUGAAGCAGAUCUCUGAAAAACAUUUCUCUUGCCAUCAUCUGGAAGGGAGAGACAGUUACAGGUACAUUAUGGGGCAAGGAGAAGCUUCAGCAAGAGGCACAAGUAUGGAGGGGGACUGUCUUAGUUGCAUCAAGUACCUCAUGUUCAUCUUCAACUUCUUCAUUUUUCUUGGAGGUGGAUUCCUUCUCGGGGUGGGAAUCUGGGUGCUGGUGGAUCCGACAGGUUUCCGGGAGAUUGUGGCAGUCAACCCUCUCCUGUUUACAGGAGUCUAUGCAAUUUUGAUCAUGGGCGGGAUGCUGUUCCUACUGGGAUUUCUGGGCUGCUGCGGAGCCAUACGAGAAAAUAAAUGUCUUCUACUGUUUUUCUUCAUGCUCAUACUCAUCAUAUUUCUGGCAGAGCUGGCGAUGGCCAUUCUGGCAUUCAUUUUCCGGGAGCAUAGAUUACUUCACCAAGGAGUUGAAAGCACAUUACCAAGUACGAUAACAUACUGUACAAAAUAUAGUACAAUAAUGUUUGAUUGCUGUGGGGUGAACAGUGCUGAAGACUUCGAUGAUCAGAGCCUCUUCAGACUGGUGAACCACAGCAGACUAGUGCCAGAGGUUUGUUGCCAGAGGAACGAUCUGAUGAUGAGCAAGGAGGAGUGUCUCAAGGGAAUUAUGCCAAUCCGUAACAAGGUCAGCAAUGAUAUUUGCAUUGAAAUCUUUGCUGAACUAUAUUUGUUUUUCUUUCUCUCCCAUCAGCUUUUUGCCAUGGUGUUUGCUAUGUGUUUGUUUAGGGGAAUCCAGUAA
This is a long non-coding RNA of Cyprinus carpio (common carp), 962 nucleotides long. Lineage: Eukaryota; Metazoa; Chordata; Actinopteri; Cypriniformes; Cyprinidae. The record is from Ensembl.